This 497-nucleotide ribosomal RNA is filed under the name uncultured bacterium. RNAcentral describes it as "partial 16S ribosomal RNA". It matches the Rfam family "Bacterial small subunit ribosomal RNA", at positions 28 to 507 of the family's 1533-position model. The record is from RNAcentral.
GACGGACGCUGGCGGCGUGCCUAAUACAUGCAAGUUGAGCGCUGAAGGUUGGUACUUGUACCAACUGGAUGAGCAGCGAACGGGUGAGUAACGCGUGGGGAAUCUGCCUUUGAGCGGGGGGCAACAUUUGGAAACGAAUGCUAAUACCGCAUAAAAACUUUAAACACAAGUUUUAAGUUUGAAAGAUGCAAUUGCAUCACUCAAAGAUGAUCCCGCGUUGUAUUAGCUAGUUGGUGAGGUAAAGGCUCACCAAGGCGAUGAUACAUAGCCGACCUGAGAGGGUGAUCGGCCACAUUGGGACUGAGACACGGCCCAAACUCCUACGGGAGGCAGCAGUAGGGAAUCUUCGGCAAUGGACGAAAGUCUGACCGAGCAACGCCGCGUGAGUGAAGAAGGUUUUCGGAUCGUAAAACUCUGUUGGUAGAGAAGAACGUUGGUGAGAGUGGAAAGCUCAUCAAGUGACGGUAACUACCCAGAAAGGGACGGCUAACUACGUG